RNAcentral lists this unclassified non-coding RNA (486 nucleotides) under Eurytemora carolleeae. RNAcentral's name for it is "uncharacterized LOC111713243". Lineage: Eukaryota; Metazoa; Arthropoda; Copepoda; Calanoida; Temoridae. The record is from RNAcentral.
UUGAUCAUGAACAAUCAAAUAAUUUGGUCUCUUUCUUCAAUCACCAUUAUACUGUCUCUAGGAGAGUCAAAAAAGUUUCUUGUGGAAACGAUGGAUGACCAGCCUGAAGGUUAUAAAGGAGGAGCAAAUGGAGAUGACUACAGCCUUCCACUAUUUUAUGAGGCCUGGAAGGACCAAGAUGACUGCAAAACCAAAGUAGAGUGUCCUGGAAAAAGUCAUUGUUGGCAUGGAUUUUGCGUCCCAGUGGAUUCUUACCAAACACAGCAUGGUGGCGAUGAUGAAGAAGACUACUCCUCUACUCUAUCACCACUGAUCUGGGAUUUAAUUGGGAAGUGGUUAAUGCCACAUAUUUUCAUACAGUCAUAAUUGGACAACUUUACAAGUAUGAGUAAGGUGAUGAAGAAGAUGCCUCUACUACUUUGGCAACAGUGAACUGGGGACAUGAUAAAUGCAAGACAGCUUCAGACUGUCCUGAACCUUAUAAUU